AGCCAAUGAUGUUAGAUAUUGUCCGUACCAUCUGAGAGAUCUACUCAUUGAUGAGUCUUUAACAAUUUUCUGAGGCUG
This is a small nucleolar RNA of Papaver somniferum (opium poppy), 78 nucleotides long. RefSeq annotates it as small nucleolar RNA snoR117. NCBI's taxonomy places the organism in Eukaryota, Viridiplantae, Streptophyta, Magnoliopsida, Ranunculales, Papaveraceae. The record is from RefSeq and is a predicted model, not a curated record. The transcript has a single exon.